GUUUCGCUGUGGCCCUCCACUUAACAAAGAGGCAGCAUUUCUGUGAGUGUCUUGCAACCCAACAGCAAAUACUGUGCUAUCAGAGGGACUUAGGUUCACCUUGCAGCUGUGAUUUUGUCAGUCAAAUAAAUGUACAGGAAUGGAUCCAAAGAAUAAUUCAUGGGAAGAUAAAUAUAGUGCUGUUUCGCUGCGUGUUGGUGGUGCAUGCCUUUAAUCCCAGCACUCCCGAGGCAGAGGCAGGAGGAUCUCUGUGAGUUCGAGACCAGCCUGGUCUACAAGAGCUAGCUCCAGGACAGCCUCCAAAGCCACAGAGAAACACUGUCUCGAAAAACCAAUAAUAAUAAUAUAAAUAAAUAAAUAAAUAAAUAAAUAAAUAAAUAACACAGUUUGGAGCUCAGCUGUUCAGUUUCGUAAACGGAAGGAUCUGGGAGUCUUUCAAUCUUAUGCUAACUUUGACGUGUCUUUUACACUGCCAGAUUGAGCUUGCAUCAGGAUUCUGGGUGAAGAGGACCUAACUCAUGAACCUGCUCAGUGAUAAUACUCCAAAAAAGUGCAAUAUUCCAGCUUCCACUGUAGAUAUGCUGUCAGUACUAUGGCUUUGUACCUAUCUUCAUGCAAAGCUUCUCUCUCUCCAUGUUGUUAACUCAAAAUCAAAAUGCCGAAAGGGACACAUUUCCUACCCUGGAACAAACAAAUCAAACAGAACAAAGGAAUUCUAGAGGGAGUAGAGCUGGACGUCCUGGUGUGACAGAAGUUCAAUCAAACAGAAUUGAUAAGAAAGGUCUUAAAUUAUCUCUAUUGACUGAAACUGGAUUUUACAACUCGACAUGCCCAAAUAGACUUGGAGCCACAGUAUCCCAGAGACUUAUUUGAAAAUUUCAGGAUAUGAGUAUGAAAAGCACCGUGUUAGAAAUGAAGAUUUCUCUAUGAUGUUGGAGAAGACUCUCCUGUACUAUUCCUUUUUACCCUCUUUCCCAGUAAUAACCCUGAAGGCCCCUCUCAGUCUCUGUGCUUUGAAAAUGGUGUUACACUCAGUGCGCACAAAGUGGUCCUGAAGAGCCAUGGUCUUUCACUACACAUUCGUGCGACCCAGGGAGGAGUAUUAAAAAAGUACGGAAGCAUCCCUGGAAUUCUAGAGAUAACUUUGUGGGAACCAAGUGAUCUUUCUAUCUCCCCAGCAUGGAAACAUGUUUUCAACUGUAACACAUCGUGUAAGUCCACCUGAGGGAAUUCAUUCCAUCCAGGACUCAGCCAUGCUUUCAAACCAAUUAAGAUGAUGGACUGUGCAUUUAAUACAUUUUUCCAAUUGUAAAAGAAAAUAUGUAUUACGAAGCAACAAAUCUCUACAUUAUACAUUUUAU
Molecule: long non-coding RNA, 1361 nt
Filed under: Cricetulus griseus (Chinese hamster)
Lineage: Eukaryota; Metazoa; Chordata; Mammalia; Rodentia; Cricetidae
Description: lncRNA (ENSCGRG00000025076.1)
Source: RNAcentral